Long non-coding RNA from Protopterus annectens (West African lungfish), 1000 nucleotides. RefSeq lists it as uncharacterized. The record is from RefSeq and is a predicted model, not a curated record. The transcript has 3 exons. Lineage: Eukaryota; Metazoa; Chordata; Ceratodontiformes; Protopteridae.
UCUACAAAGAAAACAUUAAAUUUCACAGUAUGUGUUAAUUUCAAUUACAGAUAGUCUAAAGAAACAGGCAAGACAUUAUACAACUCUACAGAAGAUGUACAAAAGCAAGGUCAGACCCAACAAAAUGGAUGUUUCACAGCUCCUGGACCUUGGAUUCCCAGCAAGACAUGCCUUCAUUGACUCUGAUCUUACUAAGGGGCAGGACAAGCCUACCAAGAUUCUUUAAGCAUAUCCUUGCUUCAGGGAACUGGCUCAUUGAAGCACUCAAUUGCCUUGAUGAAGGCUUUACCAGACAUGUUCCCAUCACCUUUGGCUCCACCCAAGAAGUUAUAUGCAAGUGAGGCUAUGCUUCACAUCCUUGAGUGUAAAGACGACCCUCAACACCUUUCUUCAGACAAGGCCGUUCUUCAGUCCUGUCAUGACUGUCUGCAAAACCAAAUGCCUACUGACCAUUGAAACCUUAAGUGUUAUGUAUCUCAUGGCACGUUAUUACACCUUUCACCUUACAUAUCCCUAAGUGCAUUGCGCCACUUCUUUAGGUGCUGCAGACUGAAGUACUGUCAGAUGCCAUCCAUGAGAAUGACAUGACCUCUUCAUACAGAAAAGCUAUGGCUGAGUGGAAAAAGUUCCUUGCUGAGUAGAAAUGCACAAAACGUUUUUUUUCAUCCCCAGUUGUUACUGCGUCCCUUGUAGUGCAAGACACAACAAACUUCAAAUUUGAUUGCAUGUUUAAUUGUUUGGCAGGGUGUUGGUUUAGUUUGCUGCUCAUCUAUUCAUAAGGUCACUGCAUUUGAUAUACUGCAUAUGCUGACAUUCUCAUUUUCACAGUGAGCAAUGACCUUGUUUUUGCAUAUUGUUCUGCCAUACAUGCCUCUGGAUAAAGAAUUAUUUAAGCAGUCAGUCAAUUUGUAGUAUAGUUUACUUUUCUCUGUAAAUUCCAGGGUAUUUUGUCUCAUUUCAAAGCAUUUAAACCAGCAAUGAAUGUUAAAUUCAAGCAAAA